RNAcentral lists this ribosomal RNA (460 nucleotides) under uncultured bacterium. RNAcentral describes it as "partial 16S ribosomal RNA". It matches the Rfam family "Bacterial small subunit ribosomal RNA", at positions 338 to 795 of the family's 1533-position model. The record is from RNAcentral.
CCUACGGGAGGCAGCAGUGAGGAAUAUUGGUCAAUGGACGAGAGUCUGAACCAGCCAAGUAGCGAGAAGGAUGACUGCCCUAUGGGUUGUAAACUUCUUUUAUAUGGGAAUAAAAUGUUCCACGUGUGGGAUUUUGUAUGUACCAUAUGAAUAAGGAUCGGCUAACUCCGUGCCAGCAGCCGCGGUAAUACGGAGGAUCCGAGCGUUAUCCGGAUUUAUUGGGUUUAAAGGGGGCGUAGGUGGAUUGUUAAGUCAGUUGUGAAAGUUUGCGGCUCAACCGUAAAAUUGCAGUUGAAACUGGCAGGCUUGAGUACAGUAGAGGUGGGCGGAAUUCGUGGUGUAGCGGUGAAAUGCUUAGAUAUCACGAAGAACUCCGAUUGCGAAGGCAGCUCACUGGACUGCAACUGACACUGAGGCUCGAAAGUGUGGGUAUCAAACAGGAUUAGAUACCCUAGUAGUC